RNAcentral lists this ribosomal RNA (460 nucleotides) under uncultured bacterium. Its description in RNAcentral is "partial 16S ribosomal RNA". It matches the Rfam family "Bacterial small subunit ribosomal RNA", at positions 338 to 795 of the family's 1533-position model. The record is from RNAcentral.
CCUACGGGAGACAGCAGUGAGGAAUAUUGGUCAAUGGACGAGAGUCUGAACCAGCCAAGUAGCGUGAAGGAUGACUGCCCUAUGGGUUGUAAACUUCUUUUAUAAAGGAAUAAAACGAGGCACGUGUGCCUUUUUGCAUGUACUUUAUGAAUAAGGAUCGGCUAACUCCGUGCCAGCAGCCGCGGUAAUACGGAGGAUCCGAGCGUUAUCCGGAUUUAUUGGGUUUAAAGGGAGCGUAGAUGGGUUGUUAAGUCAGUUGUGAAAGUUUGCGGCUCAACCGUAAAAUUGCAAUUGAUACGGGCAGUCUUGAGUACAGUUGAGGUAGGCGGAAUUCGUGGUGUAGCGGUGAAAUGCUUAGAUAUCACGAAGAACCCCGAUUGCGAAGGCAGCUUACGAAACUGUGACUGACAUUGAUGCUCGAAAGUGUGGGUAUCAAACAGGAUUAGAUACCCUUGUAGUC